This 432-nucleotide ribosomal RNA is filed under the name uncultured Methylocystis sp. RNAcentral describes it as "bacterial SSU rRNA". It matches the Rfam family "Bacterial small subunit ribosomal RNA", at positions 346 to 795 of the family's 1533-position model. Lineage: Bacteria; Pseudomonadati; Pseudomonadota; Alphaproteobacteria; Hyphomicrobiales; Methylocystaceae. The record is from RNAcentral.
GGGCUGCAGUGGGGAAUAUUGGACAAUGGGCGAAAGCCUGAUCCAGCCAUGCCGCGUGAGUGAUGAAGGCCCUAGGGUUGUAAAGCUCUUUCGCCAGGGACGAUAAUGACGGUACCUGGAUAAGAAGCCCCGGCUAACUUCGUGCCAGCAGCCGCGGUAAUACGAAGGGGGCUAGCGUUGUUCGGAAUCACUGGGCGUAAAGCGCACGUAGGCGGAUCUUUAAGUCAGGGGUGAAAUCCCGAGGCUCAACCUCGGAACUGCCUUUGAUACUGGAGGUCUCGAGUCCGGGAGAGGUGAGUGGAACUGCGAGUGUAGAGGUGAAAUUCGUAGAUAUUCGCAAGAACACCAGUGGCGAAGGCGGCUCACUGGCCCGGUACUGACGCUGAGGUGCGAAAGCGUGGGGAGCAAACAGGAUUAGAUACCCGUGUAGUC